RNAcentral lists this ribosomal RNA (319 nucleotides) under uncultured Polynucleobacter sp. RNAcentral describes it as "bacterial SSU rRNA". It matches the Rfam family "Bacterial small subunit ribosomal RNA", at positions 476 to 794 of the family's 1533-position model. Lineage: Bacteria; Pseudomonadati; Pseudomonadota; Betaproteobacteria; Burkholderiales; Burkholderiaceae. The record is from RNAcentral.
UACCUGAAGAAUAAGCACCGGCUAACUACGUGCCAGCAGCCGCGGUAAUACGUAGGGUGCGAGCGUUAAUCGGAAUUACUGGGCGUAAAGCGUGCGCAGGCGGUUAUACAAGACAGGCGUGAAAUCCCCGGGCUUAACCUGGGAAUGGCGCCUGUGACUGUAUAGCUAGAGUGUGUCAGAGGGGGGUAGAAUUCCACGUGUAGCAGUGAAAUGCGUAGAUAUGUGGAGGAAUACCAAUGGCGAAGGCAGCCCCCUGGGAUAACACUGACGCUCAUGCACGAAAGCGUGGGGAGCAAACAGGAUUAGAUACCCUGGUAGU